AACGAACGCUGGCGGCAUGCCUAACACAUGCAAGUCGAACGAGACCUUCGGGUUUAGUGGCGCACGGGUGCGUAACGCGUGGGAACAUGCCCUUAGGUUCGGAAUAACUCCCCGAAAGGGGUGCUAAUAACGGAUAAUGUCUUCGGACCAAAGAUUUAUCGCCUUUGGAUGGGCCCGCGUUGGAUUAGCUAGUUGGUAGGGUAAAAGCCUACCAAGGCGACGAUCCAUAGCUGGUCUGAGAGGAUGAUCAGCCACACUGGGACUGAGACACGGCCCAGACUCGUACGGGAGGCAGCAGUGGGGAAUAUAGGACAGUGGGCGAAAUGCUGAUCCAGCAAUGCCGCGUGAGUGAUGUAGGCCUUAGGGUUGUAAAGCUCUUUUACCCGGGAUGAUAAUGACGGUACCGGGAGAAUAAGCACCGGCUAACUCCGUG
Molecule: ribosomal RNA, 433 nt
Filed under: uncultured bacterium
Lineage: Bacteria
Description: partial 16S ribosomal RNA
Rfam family: Bacterial small subunit ribosomal RNA
Source: RNAcentral